AUUGAACGCUGGCGGCAGGCCUAACACAUGCAAGUCGAACGAGUGGCGGACGGGUGAGUAAUGUCUGGGAAACAGCCCGAUGGAGGGGGAUAACUACUGGAAACGGUAGCUAAUACCGCAUACCAUCGGAUGUGCCAAGAUGGGAUUGGCUAGUAGGUGGGGUAACGGCUCACCUAGGCGACGAUCCCUAGCGGGUAUGAGAGGAUGACCAGCCACACUGGAACUGAGACACGGUCCAGACUCCUACGGGAGGCAGCAGUGGGGAAUAUUGGACAAUGGGCGCAAGCCUGAUUCAGCCAUGCCGCGUGUAUGAAGAAGGCCUUCGGGUUGUAAAGUACUUUCAGCGAGGAGGCGUUACCCGCAGAAGAAGCACCGGCUAACUCCGUGCCAGCAGCCGCGGUAAUUC
Molecule: ribosomal RNA, 406 nt
Filed under: uncultured bacterium
Lineage: Bacteria
Description: partial 16S ribosomal RNA
Rfam family: Bacterial small subunit ribosomal RNA
Source: RNAcentral